RNAcentral lists this ribosomal RNA (253 nucleotides) under uncultured bacterium. Its description in RNAcentral is "partial 16S ribosomal RNA". It matches the Rfam family "Bacterial small subunit ribosomal RNA", at positions 524 to 776 of the family's 1533-position model. The record is from RNAcentral.
GACGAACCGUGCGAACGUUGUUCGGAAUCACUGGGCUUAAAGGGCGCGUAGGCGGGCUAUCAAGUCCGGGGUGAAAUCCUCCCGCUCAACGGGAGAACUGCCUCGGAUACUGAUGGUCUCGAGGGGGAUAGGGGCACACGGAACUGUGGGUGGAGCGGUGAAAUGCGUUGAUAUCCAUAGGAACUCCGGUGGCGAAAGCGGUGUGCUGGAUCUCUUCUGACGCUGAGGCGCGAAAGCCAGGGGAGCGAACGGG